This 218-nucleotide unclassified non-coding RNA is filed under the name plant metagenome. RNAcentral describes it as "partial contains small subunit ribosomal RNA and internal transcribed spacer 1". The stretch from base 1 to 46 matches the Rfam family "Eukaryotic small subunit ribosomal RNA", at positions 1786 to 1831 of the family's 1831-position model. The record is from RNAcentral.
AAGUCGUAACAAGGUUUCCGUAGGUGAACCUGCGGAAGGAUCAUUAAAGAACGCCCCGUUUUUUACAAAUUGGGUUCAAAUGACCCUAACCGCUGUAUACCUUACCUUCGUUGCUUUGGCGGGUCCGGCCUUGAGGCGUUGGCUCCGGCUAACUGCGCCCGCCAGAGGACCCAAACUCGUUUGUUUAGUGAUGUCUGAGUACUAUCUAAUAGUUAAAA